AAUUGGUCUGAUUAAUGGUGUUUCUCAUCUUUUCGCAGGUAUCUUUGAGAUUUUAGAAACUUGUUGAUAACAAGGCAAACUAUGCAGAAAAUGAACAGCGUAUUAAUGGCUGCUAAACAAGUUAAUGAUCCUGAUGUCUGCCUUCAAAUUCUAUGGCGUACAUUUCAGUUUGACUUCUGUCAAAGGUUGACUUUUCUAUUUCUAUAUUUAAAGUUGUGUAAAAAAUAUAGUUGAUUAUGAACUUUUUUCAGUUCUAAAAAUUAUGUUUAACUACAUCUACUUGUAAGUAGUUCACUUUCCAGCAUGCAUAAUAUUAUUUGCCUCUUUUCAGAUGGACAGACUGAUUCUGAGAGGGUAUGAGUCUCAUAAUUUCAAUUUCAGUUUUGGAAAAUUGGACAAAGAUGAACUUUGAUGCAUCCUGAAGUCUCCUGUCUUGUUCUUCAUAACAACUGCCUGUUAAAAUUACAUGAAUUGACUGGAACUGCUAGUUUUCCCAAGAGUAUGUGCUGCAAGUGAUCAAGGCUUAAAGCCACGCUUAGCAGCACUGGUGGCACCUCAGUCAUAAUUGAUGGGAUUGAGGGAUAUGGUUUUAUAGCAGUUACUUGUAUAAUCCGACCUUGUCAGUAAAUCCCUACUCCACUUACAAUUUCAAACUUGCAUUAUUUUGUUUAUUAGUAGAGUGCCUCUUUGGAAUAAGGAUUUUUUUUUUUUUUGAGAUGAAUAACAACUAAUUUUUUGAGAUGAAUAACAACUAAUUUUUUCUAUCUAAAAUUUUCUUAAAUCUAAAAUCUGAAAUAUUUUGGGAAUAACAGUUCCAUCAUAUUUUUUACUCUGUAUAUGUUAGUUCUUUGUUCUCUUUCAGAUUUACCUCUUUGAGACUGAUAAACAUUUGCCAUUAUAAAUAAAUGUUUUCUGAAGAUUUAUAUUGCUUUUCUAAAAUCAAAGUAUUGAAAUAUAUAUGUAUCUUAUUUCAAUAUAUGUAUUUAAAAAUUAUAUAAUUAAAAUACCUUAGAAAUGGAAAUAAACACUUAAAGCAAUUCAUCCUCCAUCAGCCAAUCAAUAA
RNAcentral lists this long non-coding RNA (1063 nucleotides) under Aotus nancymaae (Ma's night monkey). RNAcentral describes it as "lncRNA (ENSANAG00000038965.1)". The record is from RNAcentral. Lineage: Eukaryota; Metazoa; Chordata; Mammalia; Primates; Aotidae.